CCUACGGGAGGCUGCAGUGAGGAAUAUUGGUCAAUGGGCGGGAGCCUGAACCAGCCAAGUCGCGUGAGGGAAGACGGUCCUAUGGAUUGUAAACCUCUUUAGGCGGGGAGCAAUGCCGGGCACGUGUGCCCGGAGGGAGAGUACCCGCAGAAUAAGCAUCGGCUAACUCCGUGCCAGCAGCCGCGGUAAUACGGGGGAUGCGAGCGUUAUCCGGUUUUAUGGGGUUUAAAGGGUGCGUAGGCGGAUUUUUAAGUCAGCGGUAAAAUGUCCGGGCUCAACCCGGGCCGGCCGUUGAAACUGGGGAUCUUGAGUGGGCGAGAAGUAUGCGGAAUGCGUGGUGUAGCGGUGAAAUGCAUAGAGAUCACGAAGAACUCCGAUUGCGAAGGCAGCAUACCGGCGCCCGACUGACGCUGAGGCACGAAAGCGUGGGGAUCGAACAGGAUUAGAUACCCCAGUAGUC
Molecule: ribosomal RNA, 460 nt
Filed under: uncultured bacterium
Lineage: Bacteria
Description: partial 16S ribosomal RNA
Rfam family: Bacterial small subunit ribosomal RNA
Source: RNAcentral